RNAcentral lists this ribosomal RNA (497 nucleotides) under uncultured bacterium. RNAcentral describes it as "partial 16S ribosomal RNA". It matches the Rfam family "Bacterial small subunit ribosomal RNA", at positions 28 to 507 of the family's 1533-position model. The record is from RNAcentral.
GACGAACGCUGGCGGCGUGCCUAAUACAUGCAAGUUGAGCGCUGAAGGUUGGUACUUGUACCAACUGGAUGAGCAGCGAACGGGUGAGUAACGCGUGGGGAAUCUGCCUUUGAGCGGGGGACAACAUUUGGAAACGAAUGCUAAUACCGCAUAAAAACUUUAAACACAAGUUUUAAGUUUGAAAGAUGCAAUUGCAUCACUCAAAGAUGAUCCCGCGUUGUAUUAGCUAGUUGGUGAGGUAAAGGCUCACCAAGGCGAUGAUACAUAGCCGACCUGAGAGGGUGAUUGGCCACAUUGGGACUGAGACACGGCCCAAACUCCUACGGGAGGCAGCAGUAGGGAAUCUUCGGCAAUGGACGAAAGUCUGAGCGAGCAACGCCGCGUGAGUGAAGAAGGUUUUCGGAUCGUAAAACUCUGUUGGUAGAGAAGAACGUUGGUGAGAGUGGAAAGCUCAUCAAGUGACGGUAACUACCCAGAAAGGGACGGCUAACUACGUG